GCUCGUAGGCGGUUUGUCGCGUCUGCUGUGAAAACUCAGGGCUUAACCCUGAGCCUGCAGUGGGUACGGGCAGACUAGAGUGUGGUAGGGGAGAUCGGAAUUCCUGGUGUAGCGGUGGAAUGCGCAGAUAUCAGGAGGAACACCGGUGGCGAAGGCGGAUCUCUGGGCCAUAACUGACGCUGAGGAGCGAAAGCAUGGGGAGCGAACAGGAUUAGAUACCCUGGUAGUCCAUGCCGUAAACGUUGGGCGCUAGGUGUGGGGCUCAUUCCACGAGUUCCGUGCCGCAGCUAACGCAUUAAGCGCCCCGCCUGGGGAGUACGGCCGCAAGGCUAAAACUCAAAGGAAUUGACGGGGGCCCGCACAAGCGGCGGAGCAUGCGGAUUAAUUCGAUGCAACGCGAAGAACCUUACCAAGGCUUGACAUACAGGGAAAACUGUCAGAGAUGGCAGGUCCGCAAGGGUCCUGUACAGGUGGUGCAUGGUUGUCGUCAGCUCGUGUCGUGAGAUGUUGGGUUAAGUCCCGCAACGAGCGCAACCCUCGUUCUAUGUU
This 549-nucleotide ribosomal RNA is filed under the name uncultured bacterium. RNAcentral describes it as "bacterial SSU rRNA". It matches the Rfam family "Bacterial small subunit ribosomal RNA", at positions 567 to 1116 of the family's 1533-position model. The record is from RNAcentral.